Molecule: long non-coding RNA, 1163 nt
Organism: Triticum dicoccoides
Lineage: Eukaryota; Viridiplantae; Streptophyta; Magnoliopsida; Poales; Poaceae
Exons: 4
Source: RefSeq, a predicted model, not a curated record
UCCUCUCCCCUUCUAGAUCCGGCGGAGCUCUUCCUCCUCUCCAUCGCGCCCUUCCUUACCGCAUCGCCACCCCGACCCCCUCCCCUUCCUCUCGCGACGCAUCCGCCGUCUUCUCUCUCGCGACGCUGCACCCUCCCCGCCAGUCCCUCGCUUCCUUCUCCACCAAAACUGAUCCAAGACACGGAAACAAUCCUCCCCACCCCCUUCUCCCCUCGAUCAAUCGAUCCCGACCGACCGCGGCGGUGAUGGAUCUCUCCAGCGGGGCCGGCGGUGGCAUGAUGCUGUCGGAGAUGUACCAGAGCGCGCGGCAGCUGCAGGGCAGGGGAUAAGCAAAGCAGGGCAGGGGAGCCGUCGCGGCCCAGCACCGCUGCCGCCCCGACCCCAUCUCCCGCCGCCGGCGGUCUCCGUCCCUCUCUUUCUCACCCAAGGCUGCAGAUCGAGCCUCCUUGCGUCCAGAUUCGCCAGCCUUGGGGGAGACGGAGAGUGGGACGGGAGGGACGCCACCACCACGCCAUCGUCGAUCUCCCUCCGUCCGUCCGUGCGGGUGGUUGGUUGGGGCCAGCGCCAGCACCUCCGCCAUGCAGACGGAGAUAGAGCCCUUUCCCCCAACCACCAUGCAGCGCAGCGGCAGAUGACCCCUCCCCAGUGGCUGGCUAGGGUUUCGGUCGCCUCCCACACCGGCGCCGCUCCGACGAGUCUGCAACAUCUCCGACGACGCCCAUGCAGGCCAUCACCAUGGAAGCUGCUACCUGCGGCUGUGACCUGUGAUUGAUGGAGGAGGAGCAGCAUGGCGGGUGUGAGUGCAGGUGCAGCCCAUCGCCAUGGAAGCAAGGCCCGCACUCUCUUCAUGUUUCUUCAUCUCAGGCGGUCAGGCGAGAUAGCAAGCAAGAGGUUCAGUCUGUUGGAGUAGGAUGGUGAGCUGCUGAUUCGGGUUAACCAGGGGCACACUAUGGUAGUAUGAUUUCUGCCUGACCCUCCAGACCGUGGAGAAGCAGAGUCGGCCGCUGGCGGGGGACAUGGGUAACGACUAGAUCGUCGUCCUCUCCAAGCGAAGGGGAUAACUCAACUAGGUGCCCAGUUUGUGCUCGCUACCGAAGGAGCUCCAUGUUGAAGAAGAUUGAAGAGCACCAGGGUUAACACCAGGGCAGCUUGUAGAGCUUGUA